This 492-nucleotide ribosomal RNA is filed under the name uncultured bacterium. RNAcentral's name for it is "bacterial SSU rRNA". It matches the Rfam family "Bacterial small subunit ribosomal RNA", at positions 28 to 517 of the family's 1533-position model. The record is from RNAcentral.
GAUGAACGCUAGCGGCAGGCCUAAUACAUGCAAGUCGAACGGUAAGUUGGGUAGCAAUACCUAGCCUAGAGUGACGUAAGGGUGCGUAACAAGUAUGCAAUCUGCCCUCAACUGGAGGAUAGCUCCCCGAAAGGGGAAUUAACACUCCGUAAUAUCAUGGGAAGGCAUCUUUUUGUGAUUAAAACUCCGGUGGUUGAGGAUGAGCAUGCUUCUGAUUAGCUAGUUGGUGGUGUAACGGACCACCAAGGCGAUGAUCAGUAGGGGAACUGAGAGGUUGAUCCCCCACACUGGCACUGAGAUACGGGCCAGACUCCUACGGGAGGCAGCAGUAGGGAAUAUUGGACAAUAGGUGCAAGCCUGAUCCAGCCAUGCCGCGUGCAGGAAGAAGGCCUUCUGGUUGUAAACUGCUUUUGCCAGGGGAUAAAAAGCCCAUGCGUGGGAAACUGAAGGUACCUGGUGAAUAAGCCACGGCUAACUACGUGCCAGCAGCCG